GACGAACGCUGGCGGCGUGCUUAACACAUGCAAGUCGAACGGAAAGGCCCUUCGGGGUACUCGAGUGGCGAACGGGUGAGUAACACGUGGGUGAUCUGCCCUGCACUUUGGGAUAAGCCUGGGAAACUGGGUCUAAUACCGAAUAGGACCGCGCGCUUCAUGGUGUGUGGUGGAAAGCUUUUGCGGUGUGGGAUGGGCCCGCGGCCUAUCAGCUUGUUGGUGGGGUAAUGGCCUACCAAGGCGACGACGGGUAGCCGGCCUGAGAGGGUGACCGGCCACACUGCGACUGAGAUACGGCCCAGACUCCUACGGGAGGCAGCAGUGGGGAAUAUUGCACAAUGGGCGCAAGCCUGAUGCAGCGACGCCGCGUGAGGGAUGACGGCCUUCGGGUUGUAAACCUCUUUCACCAGGGACGAAGCGCAAGUGACGGUACCUGGAGAAGAAGCACCGGCCAACUACGUG
RNAcentral lists this ribosomal RNA (462 nucleotides) under uncultured bacterium. RNAcentral's name for it is "partial 16S ribosomal RNA". It matches the Rfam family "Bacterial small subunit ribosomal RNA", at positions 28 to 507 of the family's 1533-position model. The record is from RNAcentral.